This 76-nucleotide transfer RNA is filed under the name Candidatus Pelagibacter sp. RNAcentral describes it as "tRNA-His". It matches the Rfam family "tRNA". From Rfam's summary of the family: Transfer RNA (tRNA) molecules are approximately 80 nucleotides in length. Lineage: Bacteria; Pseudomonadati; Pseudomonadota; Alphaproteobacteria; Candidatus Pelagibacterales; Candidatus Pelagibacteraceae. The record is from RNAcentral.
GCGGUGAUAGCUCAGCUGGUAGAGCAAUUGCUUGUGGAGCAAUGGGUCGCAGGUUCGAGCCCUGCUCACCGUACCA